RNAcentral lists this ribosomal RNA (505 nucleotides) under uncultured bacterium. RNAcentral's name for it is "partial 16S ribosomal RNA". It matches the Rfam family "Bacterial small subunit ribosomal RNA", at positions 28 to 507 of the family's 1533-position model. The record is from RNAcentral.
GACGAACGCUGGCGGCGUGCCUAAUACAUGCAAGUAGAACGCACAGUUUAUACCGUAGCUUGCUACACCAUAGACUGUGAGUUGCGAACGGGUGAGUAACGCGUAGGUAACCUGCCUGGUAGCGGGGGAUAACUAUUGGAAACGAUAGCUAAUACCGCAUAAUAUUAAUUAUUGCAUGAUAAUUAAUUGAAAGGUGCAAUUGCACCACUACCAGAUGGACCUGCGUUGUAUUAGCUAGUAGGUGAGGUAACGGCUCACCUAGGCGACGAUACAUAGCCGACCUGAGAGGGUGAUCGGCCACACUGGGACUGAGACACGGCCCAGACUCCUACGGGAGGCAGCGGUAGGGAAUCUUCGGCAAUGGACGAAAGUCUGACCGAGCAACGCCGCGUGAGUGAAGAAGGUUUUCGGAUCGUAAAGCUCUGUUGUAAGAGAAGAACGGGUGUGAGAGUGGAAAGUUCACACUGUGACGGUAGCUUACCAGAAAGAGACGGCUAACUACGUG